RNAcentral lists this long non-coding RNA (2591 nucleotides) under Scleropages formosus (Asian bonytongue). RNAcentral describes it as "lncRNA (ENSSFOG00015029677.1)". The record is from RNAcentral. Lineage: Eukaryota; Metazoa; Chordata; Actinopteri; Osteoglossiformes; Osteoglossidae.
GUUCAAAAUAAAAAUAAAAAAACCGCUCAGAGUGGACAAGCGAUGCUGCUUUGUGUGGCGCUUUAGCGCAGCGCUGAGGUCUUCGGGGUGUCGGAGCGAAAUAGGUCCGUUCUCCGCUGCGCCUUUACUGUAUCCUCUUCUGUGAACCUUUUCACUCCCGAAACUGGCGCUCAGUGCUUAUUUGGUGGGAACCGGGCUGCUCUUUGUGCGCAUCUCAGGAGGGGCUACGAGUGUGAGCGUUGUGUCACUGCGAACGGUGACUCUGACGCCCACGCAGGAGAGGGAGCCACUUAUUACGAGUCCAUGAUGUUUCAGUUCGUCCCUCAGCAUCCCGCCGCCAGAGCGCACGUUGCACUGAGCUCUCUCACUGCAAGCGGGAAACUGCGCGCUCAUGUUUUAAUUUUACCAAUACAUAUACUACAAUAUAUAUAUAUAUUGUAUUAGAAAAAUAUAUAUAUAUAUCUUAAAACGUAAUUGAUAGUUUCCACAAUGGACAUGUACUCCUGGGUGCCCUUGUCACUGAACGUGCUCUUUCUCGUCAGGCUGGUGAGUAGUGUGCGCGCGCGCGGCAGGCAGGCUCGGCUAGAAGCCGCGCGCGCCUUUUCGCGAACCUUCGCCUGAACGUGUCUCAUGUCAGUGCGUUCGAUCGAUGUCGAAGCUCUCGCCGUUUACUUAAAAUAUUUUAUUAAAGCUUCCUAAUGUAAUAUGCGACGCCCUCCAAAUUCGCGGUGCUCGGUGUUGGACAGAGCAAAUCAUCGUGUCUUUUAUUAUUUCGGCGUUAACACUUGACUUUUCAGUCUGACUGGAAUUACCAAGGCAGGUAAACGAGGUUGUUCUUGACCCUACUCCUUGCCCUGGAUGUCUGAAAGAGCCCGUCUUAAAGGAGUGCAAGAAUGCCCCCUGCUGUGACGAGAGAUACCAGUUUGUGAAGCAAGGAGUCACCAUGUGUGAGCCAUGCACCCGACCUUGCUUAGACAGUCGACACCUGGUAGAAAUUAAGACGUGUGGCGCAACCUUUAACCGAGAGUGCCAUUGCGAAAAAGGUUUUUACUGCAGUAGUAAGGCACAGUACACGUGCAGGAGGUGUUUGUCUUGUCCAUCCGGCACCUUUUCCAGCGUCACAUCUUUGGAAUCCAUGGAACGCACUUGCAAGCAACAUACAAACUGUACCAACUUUGGACUGGUAAUGAUUUCUGAAGGCAAUAAUACCAGAGAUCACCAGUGUGGCCCAGUCUCCACCACCCCAGCAACUGCCAUGCCAAUUACUAAGCGGCUCUUUAGCACCCUUCAGGCAACCACUGUUAGAGCUCUGGAGCCCACAAACACGUUUAUACUUCCGGUAACGGAGCAGAAUUCCUCCAGCGCUUCAUCCCAGUAUCCCAACGUCACCAUCUCCCAGAGUUCUUCUAGCUCUGCGUACCAGGAAUCCAUUACAACCACCCCCUUGAUGUCCUCCAGCCCUACCUCCAGCCAUCGCUUCAACAUCAGCACCUCCCAGAGUUCCUCCAGCACUGAGCACCAGUUCAACAGUCCUGCACCUCAGGGCACCAGUAAUUCACCUUCUGUCCAGUCCCUCUGGUUGCUCAUCUUAGUUUGCUUGCUGCUGCUUGCUGUAUUAUUGGCAGGGUUCUGCAGGGGUAAGAGGUUGAAGAAGCUACAGGAGUACUGUGGUCUGUCAGUGAAAAAGGAGACACAGAAGACUGGAAACCUCGCCCUAACUCCCCAGUCACCUGAACAACCUUUGUUGGAGUCCCUCUAUAAUGAGAGCAGGGAGGUGGCUGUACCUGAGGAAGCCGGGGCUGCCUACAGCGGCAGGCAGCAGAUCACGGUGGACCAGAGUGGGGGAGGAGAGAGUGUCAAAAACACCGUGGGGUCCAUAUACAUCUACUCUCCUGGGAUGGUGGUCCUUGGGGCCAAUUCGUCGGAGCGUAGAGAGGAGCCUGUAGAGGGGCAGGCCUUUAUCAGCACACCACAGCAAGAGUCCCUCAGGGAGCCAGUGACCACAGGGCCUUGGGUGAGGUGUCCCAAUGGAGCACCCUUGGUGGAAGGGAUGCAAGAGGAAGAUCACAAACUCAGUUAUCCGGUGCCAGCCACUGGAAAGUGACAGCAAAGGAUGAAUGCAGGCAUGAACAUAGAAGAGACCUGUCACUCAUUACAGGAUGAACAGUGGAUCUGAAUGAAGGAUCAGAGAGAAGAGCAAGGUGCCAGGAAAACAUGUCUUGAACUGGAAGAAUGGAAAAGAUAGCAGAAACACCACCUAGACUGAGAGAGAACUUAUUUCGUCUUUGCCAAACAUUCAGAACUGGACUUCAAGAUGACAUUUCCUAGUGAUAAAAUGCAAGAUGACUGACUCAGGGUGACUCAUUGGACCAAAGGACAUCUAGUUCAUUUUAUUUUUUUACAUAGUAUUUUUCCCAGUUGCCUUUUCCCAGCCCUUCUGUUUUCCUUGUAAAUAGUGCAAGAAAGGUUUCCUCUGCAUAUGUUGUGACAUUUCCCAGAAGAAUGUCACACUAGAUGUUUUUGCUUAUCACUCAUAAGGAUGGGGGUUUUUUCUCACAGUUGAAUAAAAUAGGCUAUAUGGUGUGUAGACA